Molecule: ribosomal RNA, 296 nt
Filed under: uncultured bacterium
Lineage: Bacteria
Description: partial 16S ribosomal RNA
Rfam family: Bacterial small subunit ribosomal RNA
Source: RNAcentral
GACGAACGCUGGCGGCGUGCUUAACACAUGCAAGUCGAGCGGUAAGGCCCUUUCGGGGGUACACGAGCGGCGAACGGGUGAGUAACACGUGGGUGACCUGCCUUUAGCUCUGGGAUAAGCCUGGGAAACUGGGUCUAAUACCGGAUAUGACCCUAUGGCGCAUGUUGUGGGGUGGAAAGCCUUGUGCGGCUAGGGAUGGGCCCGCGGCCUAUCAGCUUGUUGGUGGGGUGAUGGCCUACCAAGGCGACGACGGGUAGCCGGCCUGAGAGGGCGACCGGCCACACUGGGACUGAGAC